Molecule: ribosomal RNA, 422 nt
Filed under: uncultured bacterium
Lineage: Bacteria
Description: partial 16S ribosomal RNA
Rfam family: Bacterial small subunit ribosomal RNA
Source: RNAcentral
GAAUUUUGGACAAUGGGGGCAACCCUGAUCCAGCCAUCCCGCGUGUUCGAUGAAGGCCUUCGGGUUGUAAAGCACUUUUGGCAGGGAAGAAAAGGCUCUGGCUAAUACCUGGAGCUGCUGUCCGUACCUGCAGUAUCAGCAGCGGCUCACUACGUUCCCGCAGCCGCGGUAAUACGUAGGGUGCAAGCGUUAAUCGGAAUUACUGGGCGUAAAGCGUGCGCAGGCGGGUCGGCAAGAAGGAUGUGAAAUCCCAGGGCUUAACCUUGGAACUGCAUUCUUAACUGCCGGGCUAGAGUAUGUCAGAGGGGGGUAGAAUUCCGCGUGUAGCAGUGAAAUGCGUGGAGAUGCGGAGGAAUACCGAUGGCGAAGGCAGCCCCCUGGGAUAAUACUGACGCUCAUGCACGAAAGCGUGGGGAGCAAAC